AUGAUCUUCAAUGCUCAAAAGGAAAAAUUGAUCACUGGCUUGGCCCCUGAUCUUAUUGAGGGGGGAGUUGCUGUGUUGCAAUACGCAGAUGAUACGGUGUUGUGCUUCGAGCAUGAUACAUCUGCUGCAAUCAACCUCAAAUUGCUUCUUUACAUGUUUGAGCUCAUGUCAGGCUUGAAGAUUAACUACCUUAAGAGUGAAAUCCUGUGUGUAGGGGGUGAUGACAAUAUCCUUAGUUACUGUGCAGAGCUCUUUAACUGUCAAAUUGGUCAUUUUCCUAUGCGUUACUUAGGAGUACCAGUUAGCUUCUCCUCUUUAAGAUGCCUGGAAUGGAUUUUUGUUGAUGACAAAUUUGGCAAGUGCUGUGAGGCCUGGAUAGGCAAUGCUGCUUCAUCAGGUGGCAGACUUACGCUGCUGAACUCCUCCUUGUCCAGUAUAGUCUACUACUAUAUGGCCAUGUUCCUUCUCCCUAAAACUUUCAUUGCAAAAUUA
RNAcentral lists this ribosomal RNA (492 nucleotides) under Triticum aestivum (bread wheat). RNAcentral's name for it is "partial small subunit ribosomal RNA". The record is from RNAcentral. Lineage: Eukaryota; Viridiplantae; Streptophyta; Magnoliopsida; Poales; Poaceae.